This 115-nucleotide non-coding RNA is filed under the name Corynebacterium flavescens. RNAcentral's name for it is "TPP sequence". It matches the Rfam family "TPP riboswitch aptamer (THI element)". From Rfam's summary of the family: Vitamin B(1) in its active form thiamin pyrophosphate (TPP) is an essential coenzyme that is synthesised by coupling of pyrimidine and thiazole moieties in bacteria. Lineage: Bacteria; Bacillati; Actinomycetota; Actinomycetes; Mycobacteriales; Corynebacteriaceae. The record is from Rfam by way of RNAcentral.
UUAUCACCCCGCGGGUGCCCGAAGCAUCGGGCUGAGAUUAUGCGCUGUCGCUGCGUUGGACCGUCCGAACCUGUCUGGUUAACACCAGCGAAGGAAGCGAGGACCACGUCACUGU